This 25-nucleotide small nuclear RNA is filed under the name Arabidopsis thaliana (thale cress). RNAcentral describes it as "snRNA_12139". The record is from RNAcentral. Lineage: Eukaryota; Viridiplantae; Streptophyta; Magnoliopsida; Brassicales; Brassicaceae.
UCUGCAGCACGCGCCUAACGGCGUG